UCGGCGGCCUUUUAGCGAUUGCUUUGUCGAUUUGAUUUCAAGUUGUCCCUUGUGUUAUUCAAAGGUCACAUCGACAUCGUUUUGGUUAGAUCGACGCGUUGGCGUGUGAGUGGCUAAUUGAAUGUAUGUGUUGGCUGGCUCCUUGUUUGCGCAGCGAACUGUCGGCGCAUACAUAUUUCAGUCGGACGGAGUUGUGGGUUUCGGAUUUUUGUGUUGCCAACCACUUGAUGGAAUUCGUAUGUCCCUGAUGCGUAAGUUCGCCGAACAUCCCUUGAGGUGCUAGGCGAACGUCGAAGCUACCCCUUUUAUGCCGUGCGCUCCCUUUCUCGGGAACCAUGGAAAAUUGGCGGUGUUGCUUGUUGCCUCGGAUGUAGAGCAUGUAGCGAGCAUGUUGCCUGUACUCAUUGCUCAUUCAGAGCUCUCGAUUGCUCGGAAAGAGAGACCGCCGAGCUUUGUUUUUGCUGUCGACUUGUCGAUCUUGCUAGUAACUUUGCCGACGUCCUCAAUGAAUGCUACCUGGUUGAUCCUGCCAGUAGUCAUAUGCUUGUCUCAAAGAUUAAGCCAUGA
This 567-nucleotide unclassified non-coding RNA is filed under the name Villadia pringlei. RNAcentral describes it as "partial contains external transcribed spacer and 18S ribosomal RNA". The stretch from base 514 to 567 matches the Rfam family "Eukaryotic small subunit ribosomal RNA", at positions 1 to 54 of the family's 1831-position model. Lineage: Eukaryota; Viridiplantae; Streptophyta; Magnoliopsida; Saxifragales; Crassulaceae. The record is from RNAcentral.